UCCAUUUUGUAUCUGCCGCAUCUAUUCGUCGUCAUCUGUCCUAUGAUCACAUCAUUGGAGAUGCUAAAGGUUGGACAGGAAUUCUUUGUUCCUUGCUUGCUGAAACAGAAAUAUGAUAUCAAGUUGGCAUGGCAACAGCUGGCCGGGUCCACUCGAUUUUCUCCCUCUCUCAUAUUUUGUCCUGAUGUUUUGACACAACUGCCGAGCCGAUCUUUUUUUGCUUGGUAUCUUGUUGUGCCACUGAAUAUGCACAUUCUCGUCCCAAACUGAAACGAGGUCAUGCUGUCUUUCAUGUGGAUGAUGAUCUUGAGCUUUAUCUGGAACUGGUUUACCAUGAACUGCAUUACAUUAUUGCUACAGUAUGUUCUCCUCGUCAAAUUUUUCUCUUGAUGAGCUGAAACAUUAAUGUAGCAUCAUUCGUCAGUUUCUUAUUCAUCAGCUCAAUGAGGCCAAGAAACGAGGAUUGGAUGGCUUCAAGUUCACUGUAUGCGUUAUUCUUCCCUCAAGUGAAGCUGAAGAUGCCCAAUCGAUAGAUAAUGAUUCUUUGGUGUGCAUUGAUAAAUAUCCAUCUCAACGGGGUUCGAUAAACCAGAGGAAUGAUCAUGUGUCACGAGAGCAAUUUCCCACUUUGGAUAUCUGGUUUAGUGACUGAACAGAAAGUUUAGAUAUUGAAACUGGAAGUGAUAGACAGCAACAAGAUGAACGAACAACGAUUCAGAAAGUGAAUCUGCUCAUUCAAGUGUGUUGACAUCCGGAGUGUGUCAACAGUCACAAGUGUCUAAUCUUGAUGACAUGUUGAGUCCUAAGCUGUUAGUGAAAGUUGCUCGUGAAGUAUCUCACAGAUGGCAAGAAUUUGGGGCCCAUCUUUCAGCAUAUAUGUUUCCUGCAAAGAGAAUGACGUUAUCACUGAUAAAAACACAGAACCAUUCUUUGUGUGCUCAAGCCAUGUUAGAAGAAUGGAGAGAGGCAAUGGGCAGAGAAGCUACUUGUGACUUGGUUGUUCAAACACUUUUGGAGAUGAUUUUGAGGAAGGAGGCAUGUAAUAUAUUUGGGUAUGAUGUAGUAGAACUUAUUUAUGCAAACAAAUCAUCUGUCACGUGACUUUAAUUUAGUGACUGGAAAUCAGUUUUGUCCUUUGUGUAAUAAUUUUUAGAUUUAUUUGUAAAUGCGCUGUAAAUAGUAUAGCAAUGUGGUGUCAAUCGA
Corticium candelabrum is the source of this 1203-nucleotide long non-coding RNA. RefSeq lists it as uncharacterized. Lineage: Eukaryota; Metazoa; Porifera; Homoscleromorpha; Homosclerophorida; Plakinidae. The record is from RefSeq and is a predicted model, not a curated record. The transcript has 3 exons.